CCUCUUUCAGGGUCACACCUGGACAGUUUCCAGUACUCUAUCAGUCUUGACUAUGGGAGGGAGAGUCAAGCAGAGGCCUACCCAUUCCAUUCCUAGCUUGGGCAGUGGCUAGAGAGUGGAAGGCAAUCUGCUGAAAGA
This 138-nucleotide small nucleolar RNA is filed under the name Ornithorhynchus anatinus (platypus). The record is from RNAcentral. Lineage: Eukaryota; Metazoa; Chordata; Mammalia; Monotremata; Ornithorhynchidae.